UUUACUUUUCUCCUUAUUGCUCUUUACCUACUAAGCCAAUCUGAUGGCAUUAAAGGGGUUCCAAUUUCCUUCACUGUUUACUUUAAUGUCUAUGCUAUUUAAAGUGUGCUUAUAAAGGGCCAGUGAGGUAGCACAGUGGAUAAAGCAAUAUUCCUGGAGUCAGGAGGACUUGGGUUCAAAUCUGUUCUCAGAUACUUCCUAGCUGUGUGACUAUGGUCAAGUCAUAGAAUGCUAAUUGUCUAGCCCUUACCACUCCUUUGCCUUAAACAAGAUUCUAAAACAGAAGGUAAGGGUUUUUUUUUUAAAGUAGUGGAAAUCAUUAGUGCCCGGGUAAGCAUCAUCAUAAUCAGGAGUAGCUGAUGACACUGGUUUUACUUAACUGAAGGACUCUCUGCUAUCCUGAAUUGGAUGGGUUAGUCAGUGCAUGAAGGAUGUAUAUCCCUAAUUUCACAUCUCUAUAUUAUUCACUCAGUCAUUAAAUGUGUGGAGGAAGAGGGAAGAGAAGCAAAGUGUCUUUGACUGAUGCCAUCUAUCAACUAGUAGAAACUGAGAGAUGACCAAAGUAAAAGACAGAACAAGAAAAUGGAGACUACAGAGCAAGAGCUAAUCCGGAUGUUACUGGCCUCACGUUUUUAUCUCAAGGGAGCUCCCAAACUAAUCAAGGGGACAACAUUGAAACUACUCUGCAUAUAUGAAGAAAAAUUGAUGCAAGAAGAUGUUGUUACUUGCUCAGAGUCACACAUCUAGCCUGAGGAAGACUGUAAUCAUGUUUCUUUAGUCAAAACAAGCAAUUUAUAUACCAUGUGGACAACAGACUCAACAAUUACUAAAUAAAUUAUGCUUUGUUGUUUAUUCCUGAGGGAAU
RNAcentral lists this long non-coding RNA (865 nucleotides) under Monodelphis domestica (gray short-tailed opossum). Its description in RNAcentral is "lncRNA (ENSMODG00000036875.1)". Lineage: Eukaryota; Metazoa; Chordata; Mammalia; Didelphimorphia; Didelphidae. The record is from RNAcentral.